RNAcentral lists this transfer RNA (58 nucleotides) under Bragasellus peltatus. RNAcentral describes it as "transfert RNA-L2(TTA)". The record is from RNAcentral. Lineage: Eukaryota; Metazoa; Arthropoda; Malacostraca; Isopoda; Asellidae.
UCUAAUGUAGUCAAUUAUGACGUAGGAUUUAAGAUCCUAAGGUAUUAUUUCUUUAGAA